Molecule: long non-coding RNA, 1625 nt
Organism: Oreochromis niloticus (Nile tilapia)
Lineage: Eukaryota; Metazoa; Chordata; Actinopteri; Cichliformes; Cichlidae
Source: Ensembl
CUGACUUUGAGUGAAGAAAGAAGGGACUCCUCUGGAAUUUCCUAAGGAAUUUAUUCGGACAGCCCAUGGUAAGUGCAGAUUUUUGUACACAGAGAUAUGUACAUAUAUAUACAUAUAUUUUUAAAAAAAGCUUCACGUUUGAGAAGACACCCAGCUAUCCAUUACUAAGUUGAUCUCUUUGAAUGAAAAAUAACAACACGAAGCGCAUCGCUCAUUUUUUUAUUUUCCUUUUUUAUCUACAGUUGCGAGGGCUUUGCAUUCUUCCGCCUGGGUAUAGAAUGUGACCAACCAUUCCACACUAGGGAAAUUCGGAGGAGUUCUGUUCUUUCGUCGCUCUGGUCCGAGGCAGCAAUCGCAGCUGAUUAUUCCAAACGGGUGGGGGCAAAGGGGGCAUUAAUUUCACUGGUGUGUCGGUGAGGUAAAACCGCAGCAUCGGGCAGCAUGUUGGCACCUGCGUGAUCCCACCAAAGAAGCCUCGUUACUCGGUGAGUCGGAUAAAUGUUCUUUCAGUUCAUGCAAGGGCGUCUGUUUUUGGAUUUUCUAUAUUAAACCUAACCUUUUUGUCAGCUCACUUUUGAAUUAGUUCGUUGUCAUUCAUCUUAAUGAUAAAAGAAGCAGCAGAAUCUCUCUCACAACUUUAAGCUGCUAAUGGAUAAAACUGCAGCAGAAGCUCUCCACACCACGUCAUUGACUUUGUUUUUAAUUGAGUUGUGGCAUUUGAGAAGUAUAAAAGGAGGAAUAUGAUAAGGUUAUUUUUUUGCUAAUUUUUCCCAUGUGUUCAUUUUUUGUGUUAUUCGUUACAGAACAUGCAGAGUACACUUGAACUUUUUAUUUAAAAUAAUAUAAAGUCCAUCUGAAUCUUUAAAGAAAACUACAAAAUGUUUGAAGAAUUAGCCUAAACUCUUUUACUCCUGCAUUUCAAGACACUAAAGGUUUUACUACAAUGUAUGGCUGCACAGAUUUCUCAAAAUGAAAACAAUUUGAAAACAGUUACUUUAAAAUAUAUGUGAAAUGGGACAAGAUUUAGUGAUUUAAGGAUGAUAACAAGUAAGUGCAAAGUUGUGCAUCAUCAGCAUAGAGUUGGUUUAAUCAGCUUUGUACAUACUGCAAAAAUGCUUAACAUCUAAAAUGAAUAUUAACUAUGUCAUAAUUCAACACAGAAAAAAACAAUGACUCCACUCAGUUUUAUGCCUCAAUUAAAUUUGGUUUAAAAAAGCUAGCUGAUCGCUGGUUGCUUGUGAGUGUAAAUGAGAUGUUAGUGUUGCAAAACUGAAGUAAUAAAAAUCUUUUAUUGUCUGUUUUAGGAGUAAAAAAGGCAAAAAGCGGGUUAUUUUAGCUCUUUGUUCGGUGGUUGCCGGGCAAUAUAAUGACCGUAAUAUCUGAUAUAGAUAAGAACUACUGAAGCCUAAGAUGUAAUUGUGUGCCAGGCUAGAAGGAGUAAACAGAAAAAGAAACAAACAAAGACACAGACAAGAGCACUCAGAGAGCUAACAACCCCCGACGGGGAACAGCAAUGCUAAAACUGAUGUUAUUUAUGCUGAUGUCAUCAUUCGUAAUACUGAAACCCCCAAUAAUGACGUCUGCACUGUUUUCAUAGAUCAUUUGUGCUGAUGUCAGCAUUGUUA